GCAUAAAUUAAUUGUCACCGAACCAAUUCACCGGAGAAAGAGAGAGAGAGAGAUGAAUACGCCGGCGCGUGGGCGCGUGCUACCGUUUUCGGAGAAGGAGAAAACGGAAGAAGAGUCCGGAACACUGGAAUCGAGUCUCCUACAGCUAAUCGAUGACAAUCGUAGAUCGUCGUUACAUCUCCGGGAAAAAACCGAGAGAUCGAGGAAGGAAGCGAUCAGACACGCGGCGAGAACGGCGGAUCUAUUAGUGAAGGCGGUGAACGGAGGAGUUGAGGAGUGUUUCGUGAACGAGAAACGGAUUGAGUCUGAGAUUAGGAAUCUGGCGGUUACGGUGGCGCGAUUCGGGAAACAGACGGAUCAGUGGCUUGCUGCGACUCACGCCGUUAAUAGCGCCGUCAAGGAGAUUGGAGAUGUUGAGAAUUGGAUGAAGACUAUGGAGUUUGAUUGUAAGAAGAUCACUGCUGCAAUUCGCAAUAUUCAUGAUGAUCAAUAGGAGCAACUUGUUUGUGAUACACUCAUUCACUUUGUUGUGCAACAGAUUGGAUCAAAGAGUUUGGGACUUAAUCGAAUUCACUGGUUCCUUAUUUCUACCGAGGCAACCUAACUUGUUUCUACAACUCGUUUAACUGCUCUGCUCUAUAGCUUUUGUCAGUUGCACAUCAGCUAAAAUCACUUCAUCUUGAGGUCUCGGCUAAACCACCGUAAAAUGUUGGCUGUUAUGUUUUGUAUUGAUCGAUCAUGAACUUGUGUUGGGAAGAUCAUCUCUGAGAGUUAUAUAUCUGUCUGGCCACAGGUAUAUAUCUCCGCGAGUUCCUUGUCUGCUUUUGUCAUUUUGAGUGAUUCAUGAGAUUCCCAUUCCUUUUCUUCCUA
Non-coding RNA from Camelina sativa (false flax), 870 nucleotides. The record is from RefSeq and is a predicted model, not a curated record. Lineage: Eukaryota; Viridiplantae; Streptophyta; Magnoliopsida; Brassicales; Brassicaceae.